Molecule: transfer RNA, 77 nt
Filed under: Pseudomonas aeruginosa
Lineage: Bacteria; Pseudomonadati; Pseudomonadota; Gammaproteobacteria; Pseudomonadales; Pseudomonadaceae
Description: tRNA-Val
Rfam family: tRNA
About the family: Transfer RNA (tRNA) molecules are approximately 80 nucleotides in length.
Source: RNAcentral
AGGCACGUAGCUCAGUUGGUUAGAGCACCACCUUGACAUGGUGGGGGUCGUUGGUUAGAAUCCAAUCGUGCCUACCA